RNAcentral lists this transfer RNA (74 nucleotides) under Dictyobacter alpinus. Its description in RNAcentral is "tRNA-Gln". The record is from RNAcentral. Lineage: Bacteria; Bacillati; Chloroflexota; Ktedonobacteria; Ktedonobacterales; Dictyobacteraceae.
CCGGCGAUGGGCUGGUUUUCGCCAAGUUCGGCUUUGGCUCGCAUGAGGACUUCGUGCAUGUCGAGGUCGGCGGA